AAAUUGAAGAGUUUGAUCAUGGCUCAGAUUGAACGCUGGCGGCAGGCCUAACACAUGCAAGUCGAACGGUAGCACAGAGAGCUUGCUCUCGGGUGACGAGUGGCGGACGGGUGAGUAAUGUCUGGGAAACUGCCCGAUGGAGGGGGAUAACUACUGGAAACGGUAGCUAAUACCGCAUAACGUCGCAAGACCAAAGUGGGGGACCUUCGGGCCUCACACCAUCGGAUGUGCCCAGAUGGGAUUAGCUAGUAGGUGGGGUAACGGCUCACCUAGGCGACGAUCCCUAGCUGGUCUGAGAGGAUGACCAGCCACACUGGAACUGAGACACGGUCCAGACUCCUACGGGAGGCAGCAGUGGGGAAUAUUGCACAAUGGGCGCAAGCCUGAUGCAGCCAUGCCGCGUGUAUGAAGAAGGCCUUCGGGUUGUAAAGUACUUUCAGCGAGGAGGAAGGCGUUGUGGUUAAUAACCACAGCGAUUGACGUUACUCGCAGAAGAAGCACCGGCUAACUCCGUGCCAGCAGCCGCGGUAAUACGGAGGGUGCAAGCGUUAAUCGGAAUUACUGGGCGUAA
This 571-nucleotide ribosomal RNA is filed under the name Salmonella enterica. RNAcentral describes it as "bacterial SSU rRNA". It matches the Rfam family "Bacterial small subunit ribosomal RNA", at positions 1 to 563 of the family's 1533-position model. The record is from RNAcentral. Lineage: Bacteria; Pseudomonadati; Pseudomonadota; Gammaproteobacteria; Enterobacterales; Enterobacteriaceae.